RNAcentral lists this ribosomal RNA (460 nucleotides) under uncultured bacterium. RNAcentral's name for it is "partial 16S ribosomal RNA". It matches the Rfam family "Bacterial small subunit ribosomal RNA", at positions 338 to 795 of the family's 1533-position model. The record is from RNAcentral.
CCUACGUGAGGCAGCAGUGAGGAAUAUUGGUCAAUGGACGAGAGUCUGAACCAGCCAAGUAGCGUGAAGGAUGACUGCCCUAUGGGUUGUAAACUUCUUUUAUAUGGGAAUAAAAUGUUCCACGUGUGGGAUUUUGUAUGUACCAUAUGAAUAAGGAUCGGCUAACUACGUGCCAGCAGCCGCGGUAAUACGGAGGAUCCGAGCGUUAUCCGGAUUUCUUGGGUUUAACGGGAGCGUAGGUGGAUUGCUAAGGCAGUUGUGAAAGUUUGGGGCUCAACCGUGAAAUUGCAGUUGAAACUGGCAGUCUUGAGUACAGUAGAGGUGGGCGGAAUUCGUGGUGUAGCGGUGAAAUGCUUAGAUAUCACGAAGAACUCCGAUUGCGAAGGCAGUUCACUGGACUGCAACUGACACUGAGGCUCGAAAGUGUGGGUAUCAAACAGGAUUAGAUACCCCGGUAGUC